RNAcentral lists this ribosomal RNA (907 nucleotides) under Placida cremoniana. RNAcentral's name for it is "partial 16S ribosomal RNA". It matches the Rfam family "Bacterial large subunit ribosomal RNA", at positions 555 to 2550 of the family's 2925-position model. Lineage: Eukaryota; Metazoa; Mollusca; Gastropoda; Limapontiidae. The record is from RNAcentral.
AACUUUUUAAUAUAAUUAGAGUUCUUAUUUCACUUAACAGAAAUGGAGUAUUUAACUGUUUCUCUAGGAGUCCCUCCUUUUUGUAUAACGGGUACACUAUAAUUUCCUUACUUUAGAUUUCCCGAAAGCAGAAGAUCUAAUUUCUUACUAGGAUAUUAGUUUAGACAUAUACUAUGUAGAAUUAUGGUAUGUAAGAUAAGAAUUUAGGGGUGAAAAACCUACAAUUCUGCUGAUAACUGGAUCUUGGAUCAAAGUAUUUAGUACUAAAAACAGAUAUCUAGCUUUUAGGCUGGGUAUCUAUUGAAUAUUGUAUUUCAGAUUUUAUUGACUAGGGUUAAAAUCUCUUGUCUUGAAAAGUUAACUAAAAAUUAAUAUAUAAUAUAUUUCUUUCAUGUCCUAGAAAUUCCAAUAACUUUUUUGGAAGUUGAGAAUGUUUACAUUAGUAAUAAAUUUUUACAUUAUUUAAAUAUAGAAAAAGGAACUCGGCAAAAUCUACCUUAACUGUUUACCAAAAACAUAGCCUUGAGCUCUUAUUCAAGGUAAAGCCUGCCCAGUGCAGUAUUUGUUAACGGCCGCAGUACCCUGACUGUGCUAAGGUAGCAUAAUCAGUUGGCUUUUAAAUGGAGUCGGGAAUGAAUGGAUUUAUAGGGUUAAGCUGUCUCUUUUAUACUUAAUUAAAUUUACUUAUUAGGUGAAAAUUCCUAAUAAAAGAAAAAAGACGAGAAGACCCUAGGAGUUUUAACUAAAAUGAUUAAAGGUUACGUUUUUGUUGGGGCGACAUGAGAGUAUACAAUUAAACCUCUUAUUUAAAAUAAGCCGACUUAGUAUGAAAAUUUAAACUACCCUAGGGAUAACAGCGUAAUUCUUUAUUGAGUUUGCGACCUCGAUGUUGGAUUAGGAAUUUAGU